UGGCAGCAGUAAUUUGAAGUCUCUCAUUCCUUUGGUUGUUGAUGAACUAAGGAAUCAAUGAAAGGGCUGAUAGCCUUAAAGAAUCGAAAAUGGUGAAGGUGGUGGGUAGCUGAGGGGAUGGGAUGUCAUAGGGUGGCUGAUUGACUCUCUAGGUGUACCUUGGGUAUGGCCUUGAAGCUGCUCCAGCUGCUGCAGAGAAGGGAUGGGAGCUGCUGUUGCAGCUGCUCUUGAACAGGACGUCCCUCCCUCCCCUAUUCUUCUCUCUCUGCCCCUUUUUUCUCUAUUUUUGUUGCUGCGUGUACAAACUAGAUAGUAGGAGUGAAGUUGUAACGUAGCUAGGAACAAAUCCUUCUGUCUUGUAUUUUAAAACUGAAAUAUAGUUCCGAGUUUUGCUAAUAUCGCGUGUUUGUAGUCGAAUACUAGUUACUCUAAUAAAUCCCGUAUUUCGAUAUCUAAUUUCUUACCUGCAAAUUCUAG
Molecule: long non-coding RNA, 477 nt
Filed under: Salvia miltiorrhiza (redroot sage)
Lineage: Eukaryota; Viridiplantae; Streptophyta; Magnoliopsida; Lamiales; Lamiaceae
Description: long non-coding RNA (SMIL_LNC013963)
Source: RNAcentral